Molecule: ribosomal RNA, 253 nt
Filed under: uncultured bacterium
Lineage: Bacteria
Description: partial 16S ribosomal RNA
Rfam family: Bacterial small subunit ribosomal RNA
Source: RNAcentral
UACGAAGGGGGCUAGCGUUGUUCGGAAUCACUGGGCGUAAAGCGCACGUAGGCGGAUUGCUAAGUCAGGGGUGAAAUCCUGGAGCUCAACUCCAGAACUGCCUUUGAUACUGAGGAUCUUGAGUUCGGGAGAGGUGAGUGGAACUGCGAGUGUAGAGGUGAAAUUCGUAGAUAUUCGCAAGAACACCAGUGGCGAAGGCGGCUGACUGGUCCGGUUCUGACGCUGAGGCGCGAAAGCGUGGGGAGCAAACAGG